GCCAGGCAUGGUGGCGCAUGCCUGUAGUUCCAGCUAUUCAGGAGGCUGAGGUGGGAGGAUCACUUGAGCUCAGGAGUUCGAGGCUGCAGUGAGCCAUGAUCACACCACUGUACUCCAGCCUGGGUGAAAGAGUGAGACCCUGUCUCAA
Molecule: small RNA, 148 nt
Filed under: Pongo abelii (Sumatran orangutan)
Lineage: Eukaryota; Metazoa; Chordata; Mammalia; Primates; Hominidae
Description: Metazoan signal recognition particle RNA (ENSPPYG00000032642.1)
Source: Rfam by way of RNAcentral